GCAAGCAGUAUUAAGAAACUAAAAGCAUAAGCAAAAAUAUAGAAGAUAAGCUAAGCAUGCAUAAAUUAACAGUAAAGAAAAGAUAGAAUGGUCUCAAGGAUGGGAGUUAUUGACUUCAAUAGAGUCUCUUAGUUUACAAGAGUGCCUUAACAAACUUAAUAAAGUUAUUACCUCAACAUUAAGCUUCUAAACCUAAUCAAUUCAAUCCCAAGGCAAAGAUUAUCAAACCCAUUACACUUCAUAAUCUCAUAUCCCUCUUUUGAAACAUGCAAUAGAUAGGCAUUAGAAACCAGCUUAAUCAUGUCAAAAU
This 310-nucleotide long non-coding RNA is filed under the name Capsella rubella. RNAcentral's name for it is "long non-coding RNA (CRUB_LNC004233)". Lineage: Eukaryota; Viridiplantae; Streptophyta; Magnoliopsida; Brassicales; Brassicaceae. The record is from RNAcentral.